AAAAAGACAAACCCUGAGUUUCCGUGUCCAACGUUUGACUAUCCGUAUUAUAUGAAAUUUUUUUAUAAUUAGUAUUUUCAUUGUUAUUACAUGAUAAAACAUUAUUAAUACUUUAUGCGUGACUUGUCUUUUUAAUUUUUUCCAUAAUUUUUUCAAAUAAGACGGACGGUCAAACAUUGGACACGGAAACUCAUGGUUUAUCUUUUU
Oryza sativa Indica Group (long-grained rice) is the source of this 207-nucleotide microRNA precursor. It matches the Rfam family "MIR812 microRNA precursor family". NCBI's taxonomy places the organism in Eukaryota, Viridiplantae, Streptophyta, Magnoliopsida, Poales, Poaceae. The record is from Rfam.